CGCUAAGCCACCACGAAGGAUAUGCUUCACCGCCGGUCCCAUCAUCUGAUCCUUGAAUCUAUCAGCGUAUUGAUAGAUUCAUAGCAGGUACCAAGAACAGACCGAACUGGGAGAUGGCGGCGGCGUCCAGACCCUUGAAUCUAUCGUCUACAAGUUCCCGUCUUUCCUCUUCUUUCCUAUCUCCUAAUCUCAGAAAUCUCAAUCCCUCCAACCUCACUUUCCUUUUGCCUCGUUCUGCACCCAAGACGGUCUCUCUCAGUGUCAAAGCAACAUCCUUAUCGUCGCCGACCACCCACAAAACAGCCACCUCCACACCCCAGUCGGAGUCUCCCGAUCGCUUCCGUGUGGAGAUUCUGUCGGAAUCCCUUCCCUACAUCCAGAAAUUCAGGGGUAAAACCAUCGUCGUCAAGUAUGGCGGCGCUGCUAUGAAGGUUCCUGAGCUUAAGGCUUCGGUGGUCAGUGACCUCGUCCUCCUUUCUUGUGUUGGCCUUCGUCCUGUUCUUGUCCAUGGAGGAGGGCCUGAGAUCAACCACUGGCUCCAACUCCUCAACAUCCAACCUCUCUUCCACGAGGGCCUCCGAGUCACUGAUGCUAAGACCAUGGAGAUCGUGUCCAUGGUCUUGGUGGGUAAGGUUAACAAGGACUUAGUCUCUCUCAUUAACAAAGCUGGUGCUACCGCCGUUGGGCUCUCCGGUAUGGACGGUCGCCUCCUCAUGGCUCGACCCAACCCCAAUUCUGCCCACUUGGGUUUUGUCGGGGAAGUCACCCGUGUUGAUUCCACCAUACUCCAGCCCCUCGUCGAUAAUGGUCACAUCCCUGUGAUUGCCUCUGUGGCGGCUGAUGAGUCUGGCCAAUCAUACAAUAUCAAUGCCGACACGGUGGCUGGGGAAUUGGCGGCGGCUUUGGGGGCUGAGAAGCUUAUUCUGUUGACGGAUGUGGCGGGCAUACUGGAAAAUCGAGAUGACCCAAAGAGUUUGGUGAAGGAGAUUGAUAUAAAGGGAGUGAAGAGGAUGAUAGCAGAAAAGAAGGUUGCUGGUGGAAUGAUUCCUAAGGUCAAUUGUUGUGUACGGUCACUUGCUCAAGGUGUGAGAACUGCUAGUAUCAUUGAUGGAAGGGUUCAGCACUCUUUGCUUCACGAAAUUAUGUCAGAGGAAGGCAUUGGAACCAUGAUUACUGGGUAAAAUGUAGUCACUCAGUUCUGUUGUAAUCUCUUCAUUGUUGUUAUUGGAUGUACUUUCACUUAGAUGAAUGAAUUACUGAUUAUUCUCUAUUAUUGUUAAACUCACUGAUUAUUCUCUAUUAUUGUUAAACUCUUCCAUUGGUGAUGUGGUUUAUGUUGUUUUGAUGGUUUUGAUUUGAUGGUCAUCCAAUGAUAUCAUGAGAAUUUAUUCCUAACUAGGAACCAGCAUUACUUUGGCAUCUUUUAUUUAUUUAUUGACAUCGCACCUGUUUUUUAUUGGAUGGGAGGGGUUUGGGGUAUUAAUUUCAGAGAAUCUGUGAGCUUUAGGCUACUGAAACGGGAUUGUAUUGGGUGUGUUCCUUGUGUUUUCUGCAGUGCAGUUUGUUAUUGUGGAGACUGCAAACCAGAUUUUGAUUGCCUUGCGAGAACCCUAGAACAUAAAAUUUUUUCAGAGUUUAUUUAAUAUUGGCAUGGCUGCUCUGAUAUCCUUUCUGUUGAUGGAAAGAAUUGCAGCAGGAUUCUGUGGUGGACUUGUGAAAAUAGAGGAUGUUGUAAUACAUGGAGUUGCUAUGGUCCGUGGAGAGAGAGCUCAAAGAAUCAUAAUCAAAGAUUGAGUAGUUUUGAAGUUCUCAAUAACUACUUUUAGUGCUUGUAAUAACAAUCUACAUAGAGCUUUGAAUUGAACCCAUAUGCAUCCAGAAGCCUUAAAGUCAAAAAAGAAAAGUCUAAGUCACCAUGUGAAAGGAUCAAAGGAAUAAUGCAAAGUCAGCUUUUCUCAAUAACAUGAUGAAGGCCUUUUGGUCAACAAAAAUGUUGUAUUAAUAAGAAUGAUUUCCUUGAUUGCUAUUCAAGACGCUCAAUUAAAACUCGAAAGUUCAAAUUCUAACUAGAGAGGCUGAUGGGUGUAGUUGGUGCUUCACUUUCCUUUCUUCUCUUGACCCUUGCCCUCUGGACAAAAGCAACCUCUACUCAGAUUUUAUUUCAGGGGUUCAAUUGGGAAUCAUGGAAAAAAGAAGGUGGAUGGUACAACUUUUUAAGAAACUCUAUUCCUGAAUUGGCUAGUUCCGGCAUUACACAUGUUUGGCUUCCUCCAUCUUCUCAUUCUGUUUCAGCUGAAGGAUAUCUACCUGGAAGGCUCUAUGAUCUCAAUGCAUCGCAGUAUGGAAACCAAGAUGACCUAAAAGCUUUAGUGAGGGCCUUGCACAAAAUGGGGAUUCAGUGCAUAGCAGACAUAGUUAUAAACCAUAGAUGUGCAGAGAAGCAAGAUGAUAGAGGAAUAUGGUCAAUAUUUGAAGGAGGGACUCCAGAUGAUCGACUUGACUGGGGGCCAUCUUUCAUUUGCAGCGAUGACACUCUUUACUCUGAUGGAAAAGGAAAUCCUGACACUGGAGCUGACUUCAAUGCUGCUCCAGAUAUUGAUCAUAUAAACCUGCGGGUACAAAG
Molecule: unclassified non-coding RNA, 2623 nt
Filed under: Hevea brasiliensis (rubber tree)
Lineage: Eukaryota; Viridiplantae; Streptophyta; Magnoliopsida; Malpighiales; Euphorbiaceae
Source: RNAcentral